CGGAUGGGUGAGUAACACGUGGGUAACCUGCCCUAAAGUCUGGGAUACCACUUGGAAACAGGUGCUAAUACCGGAUAACAACAAUAGCUGCAUGGCUAUUGCUUAAAAGGCGGCGAAAGCUGUCGCUAAAGGAUGGACCCGCGGUGCAUUAGCUAGUUGGUAAGGUAAUGGCUUACCAAGGCGACGAUGCAUAGCCGAGUUGAGAGACUGAUCGGCCACAUUGGGACUGAGACACGGCCCAAACUCCUACGGGAGGCAGCAGUAGGGAAUCUUCCACAAUGGGCGAAAGCCUGAUGGAGCAACGCCGCGUGAGUGAAGAAGGUUUUCGGAUCGUAAAGCUCUGUUGUUGGUGAAGAAGGAUAGAGGUAGUAACUGGCCCCUAUUUGACGGUAAUCAACCAGAAAGUCACGGCUAACUACGUGCCAGCAGCCGCGGUAAUACGUGGGUGGCAAGCGUUGUCCGGAUUUAUUGGGCGUAAAGCGAGCGCAGGCGGAAAGAUAAGUCUGAUGUGGAAGCCCCCGGCUUAACCGAGGAAUUGCAUCGGA
Molecule: ribosomal RNA, 545 nt
Filed under: uncultured bacterium
Lineage: Bacteria
Description: bacterial SSU rRNA
Rfam family: Bacterial small subunit ribosomal RNA
Source: RNAcentral